AGAACCUUACCAAGGCUUGACAUACACCGGAAACGUCUGGAGACAGGCGCCCCCUUGUGGUCGGUGUACAGGUGGUGCAUGGCUGUCGUCAGCUCGUGUCGUGAGAUGUUGGGUUAAGUCCCGCAACGAGCGCAACCCUUGUCCCGUGUUGCCAGCAGGCCCUUGUGGUGCUGGGGACUCACGGGAGACCGCCGGGGUCAACUCGGAGGAAGA
Molecule: ribosomal RNA, 213 nt
Filed under: uncultured Streptomyces sp.
Lineage: Bacteria; Bacillati; Actinomycetota; Actinomycetes; Kitasatosporales; Streptomycetaceae
Description: partial 16S ribosomal RNA
Rfam family: Bacterial small subunit ribosomal RNA
Source: RNAcentral